Molecule: long non-coding RNA, 405 nt
Filed under: Pan troglodytes (chimpanzee)
Lineage: Eukaryota; Metazoa; Chordata; Mammalia; Primates; Hominidae
Description: long non-coding RNA NONPTRT017063
Source: RNAcentral
AAGAAAAGAAAAGAAGAGAAAAAAAAGACGAGAAAAGCAAAAAAGAAAGAGAAGAGAAGGAAAAGAGAAAAGAAAAGAAAAGAAAAGAAAAGAGAAAAGUAUAAGUAAUCUCCCAAAUGUCAAAAGAUGGGGCUACAGAAAAGGCAGAGGUGGUGUUUAGACCUACUGUAGUGAAUCAGAAAAGCUCUACAGCCAAAAGACCAGAGAACUGAAUUGAAAGGUAGCCAAGUCAUCAAACUGAAGAGUAGCUAAGUCAAGAACUACAGGAACAAUUUCACUGAAUGCUUCCAAAAAUGAAGACACCACAGUGGACCAGUGUGAGGCUGCAGAACUAAGUCUGGGAGGCUAUAUUGCUCUGAGAUGCAUUCAGGAUCUCAGGGAUGCUCAGAGCUAUUUUGAAUAAGC